RNAcentral lists this ribosomal RNA (253 nucleotides) under uncultured bacterium. RNAcentral describes it as "partial 16S ribosomal RNA". It matches the Rfam family "Bacterial small subunit ribosomal RNA", at positions 524 to 776 of the family's 1533-position model. The record is from RNAcentral.
UACGUAGGGGGCAAGCGUUGUCCGGAUUUAUUGGGCGUAAAGAGCGUGUAGGCGGUUCGGUAGGUCCGUUGUGAAAACUCGAGCUCAACCUCGAGACGCCCGAUGGAAACCCCCGAACUAGAGUCCGGAAGAGGAGAGUGGAAUUCCUGGUGUAGCGGUGAAAUGCGCAGAUAUCAGGAAGAACACCCGUGGCUAAGGCGGCUCUCUAGUACGGUACUGACGCUGAGACGCGAAAGCGUGGGGAGCGAACAGG